GAUGAACGCUGGCGGCGUGCCUAAUACGUGCAAGUCGAGCGAACUGAUUAGAAGCUUGCUUCUAUGACGUUAGCGGCGGACGGGUGAGUAACACGUGGGCAACCUGCCUGUAAGACUGGGAUAACUUCGGGAAACCGAAGCUAAUACCGGAUAGGAUCUUCUCCUUCAUGGGAGAUGAUUGAAAGAUGGUUUCGGCUAUCACUUCCCGAUCGUCACGCGGUGCAUUGGCUAGUUGGUGAGGUAACGGCUCACCAAGGCAACGAUGCAUCGCCGACCUGAGAGGGUGAUCGGCCACACUGGGACUGAGACACGGCCCAGACUCCUACGGGAGGCAGCAGUAGGGAAUCUUCCGCAAUGGACGAAAGUCUGACGGAGCAACGCCGCGUGAGUGAUGAAGGCUUUCGGGUCGUAAAACUCUGUUGUUAGGGAAGAACAAGUACAAGAGUAACUGCUUGUACCUUGACGGUACCUAACCAGAAAGCCACGGCUAACUACGUGCCAGCCGCCGCCGUAA
This 514-nucleotide ribosomal RNA is filed under the name uncultured bacterium. Its description in RNAcentral is "partial 16S ribosomal RNA". It matches the Rfam family "Bacterial small subunit ribosomal RNA", at positions 28 to 523 of the family's 1533-position model. The record is from RNAcentral.